UACGUAGGGGGCAAGCGUUGUCCGGAAUCAUUGGGCGUAAAGCGCGUGUAGGCGGCCAGGUAAGUCCGUUCUGAAAGCCCGGGGCUCAACCCCGGGAGGCGGAUGGAUACUGCUUGGCUCGAGUCCGGAAGAGGCGAGUGGAAUUCCCGGUGUAGCGGUGAAAUGCGCAGAUAUCAGGAGGAACACCGAUUGCGAAGGCAGCUCGCUGGAACGUUACUGACGCUGAGACGCGAAAGCGUGGGGAGCAAACAGG
This 253-nucleotide ribosomal RNA is filed under the name uncultured bacterium. RNAcentral's name for it is "partial 16S ribosomal RNA". It matches the Rfam family "Bacterial small subunit ribosomal RNA", at positions 524 to 776 of the family's 1533-position model. The record is from RNAcentral.